GUCAAAGUGGGUAGAUCUAGAAAUCUAGGCCUAGCCUAGGCAUUGAAUAUUGAUCUAGGCUAGGACGAUGUAGAUCUAAUUGUAAAUCUAUUCAUUUAAUAACGAUUCUGUCAAUAAUUAUAGAGUCUAGAUCUAGUUUAUAUACCAAUAGCAUAGUAUAAUCCGUAUAUUAUAUAGAAGUACAAAUAGACAGGUAGUAACUUAUAGAUUUAUAAUAGAUAGAGAUACAUAUAUAUAUUUUAUAUAGAUAUAUAUAUUAUAUAUAUUAAUAUUAUAUAUAUAUAACCAGUAGAAGUACAGAUCUAUAAUCUAUUGUAGUCUAUUACUAGUAUUCUAUAGUUACAUAGACUCAUUCUAUUAGACUGUUAGACAGUUACUAUUAGAUCUGUCAUAUUUUAUACCUCGGUAUAUACCAAAUUAUUCUAGUAAAUAAUAGAUGUUAUAUAUAGGCCUAAUAUAUACAUUUUAUUUUAUAUUUUAUACAGUUUGCAUUUCAUUUCAAAAAAAUUAAUUGUAAACUUUCAGAUCUGCCAUUAACAUUUUCAAGACGAAGUAUCAUGGACAGUAUUGAAGGAUGACGUACUAUAAAGGAAUACUCUAAAAUCUGCCGUUAACAUUUUGAAGACGAUGAAGUAUUGUGGACUAGCUACUACACAUGAAAGAGUAGAGAGUGCAUUAAAAAAAGUGUUAAGUCUCAGGAAGUCGCAGGAUGGCUGCCUGGUCUUGUGGUUUGCGCGCUGGACUGUCGUUUGGAUUUAUCGAUGUCUCUGGUUCAAACCCUGCCCGCUCCCAUCCCCUGUCGUCAACUCUGAAGGAACAUCCGAAACAUGUCAAACAUACAAGGAUAUAAUAGUAAAAAAAAACAUAUCAGUGAUUUCAGUGAAUUUCAAGAUAGUGUAAGAGGAGUGUAUGAUUUAUGUACAUUGUAAAGGUUCUGGUCCAGUUAAGGUAGUAUAUAUAUAUUCUAUUGUUCUUGGUACAUCUCUUUGACGAUGUUUUUUUUUAAACAAACAGAAGUAUUUGGUAAAGGUGAUAAGCUACUUCUUAAAACUGUAUCCUACAUUUAUGAAAUUAUUAAUUUGUUAGAACUCAUAGAACAAUAUUCUACAAAAACUUUUACCAACAAUACUAACAGUUUUUAAAUGCUAUUAAAGAAAACACUAAGUACACAAAUACAAAAAAUGACAAUGAAAUAAAUAUAUUAAAUUGACUUAAACCAAACAGGAUUAAAUAAGAAGACCAUGUCACUUUUUAUGGACUAUCUAAAUUAAGUAUUGUCUACCCACAUCCUGCAGAUUCCUGCUCAUAUAAGUUAUUGACCAUGUACACUACAUAUAUUUAAAGGUUUAAGAUACAGUGGGAUAAAUCAAAAAGAUGAAAAUAUUUCUUUUAUCUUUCCUAAUUUUAAUGAUUCAUCAAAACAUCAUAAAGGUUCUCUGUAAGUCUAACUGUUAGAUGUUAUAUUAUGGGUAAUUAUCUUGUUUUUUGAAGUAACUUGUGUAAUCUAUAAGAUAAGAUAUGUUGCUGGUUAUUGUGUUCAUGUGGUUCUAAAGAAAUUUAAUGACUGCAUGACUGGGGAUGGGAGCGGCCAGGGUUUGAACUUGGGACCAUCAAUAAAUCUAAGCGACAGUCCGGAGCGCAAGCCGCUCAACCAGGCAGCCAUCCAUAUAUAUAUAAUAUAUAAUUUAAAUAACAUUAACAUUAUAUGAGCAAACCGCUUGAACAGGCAGCCAUCCAUAUAUUUAAAUCACAUUAACAUUAUAUGUAAUCAUUGUAUUUUUAAAAUGUGUAUUGUAAAUUAUUGCAAUUUUUUUUUCCAUAUGUUCAUUAAGCAAUUGCAAUAAAAACUUAACUCAUUAAAGUGGUAUCCUUUGUCUGCAAAUAAAAUUGCUAUAUAACACCACA
Long non-coding RNA from Biomphalaria glabrata, 1905 nucleotides. RefSeq lists it as uncharacterized. The record is from RefSeq and is a predicted model, not a curated record. NCBI's taxonomy places the organism in Eukaryota, Metazoa, Mollusca, Gastropoda, Planorbidae. The transcript is spliced from 2 exons.